UACGGGGGGGGUAAGCGUUGUUCGGAAUUACUGGGCGUAAAGGGCUCGUAGGCGGCCAACUAAGUCGGACGUGAAAUCCCUCAGCUUAACUGGGGAACUGCGUCCGAUACUGGAUGGCUUGGAUUUGGGAGAGGGAUGCGGAAUUCCAGGUGUAGCGGUGAAAUGCGUAGAUAUCUGGAGGAACACCGGUGGCGAAGGCGGCAUCCUGGACCGACAUUGACGCUGAGGAGCGAAAGCUAGGGGAGCAAACGGG
RNAcentral lists this ribosomal RNA (253 nucleotides) under uncultured bacterium. RNAcentral's name for it is "partial 16S ribosomal RNA". It matches the Rfam family "Bacterial small subunit ribosomal RNA", at positions 524 to 776 of the family's 1533-position model. The record is from RNAcentral.